AUUGAACGCUGGCGGCAGGCCUAACACAUGCAAGUCGAGCGAGCGGCGGACGGGUGAGUAAUGUCUGGGAAACUGCCUGAUGGAGGGGGAUAACUACUGGAAACGGUAGCUAAUACCGCAUACCAUCAGAUGUGCCCAGAUGGGAUUAGCUAGUAGGUGGGGUAACGGCGCACCUAGGCGACGGUCCCUAGCUGGUCUGCGAGGAUGACCAGCAAUACGGGCACUGAGACACGGUCCAGACUCCGACGUGAGGCAGCAGUGGGGAAUAUUGCACAAUGGGCGCAAGCCGGAUGCAGCCAUGCCGCGUGUAUGAAGAAGGCCUUCGGGUUGUAAAGUACUUUCAGCGGUGAGGCGUUACCCGCAGAAGAAGCACCGGCUAACGCCGUGCCAGCAGCGGCGGUAAUAC
RNAcentral lists this ribosomal RNA (406 nucleotides) under uncultured bacterium. Its description in RNAcentral is "partial 16S ribosomal RNA". It matches the Rfam family "Bacterial small subunit ribosomal RNA", at positions 29 to 526 of the family's 1533-position model. The record is from RNAcentral.